Molecule: non-coding RNA, 124 nt
Filed under: Enterobacter mori
Lineage: Bacteria; Pseudomonadati; Pseudomonadota; Gammaproteobacteria; Enterobacterales; Enterobacteriaceae
Description: Moco (molybdenum cofactor) riboswitch
Rfam family: Molybdenum/Tungsten riboswitch aptamer (Moco RNA motif)
Source: RNAcentral
AACAUACACUCUAGCCCUGGCGCCUGUGUCGAACGAUAUGGCGCCCUGGCCGUGGCGAAUUAGCCACCAGGGUACAGAAAGAAAUGACUGUGCCUCCCGAUUUGGAAAGGUGUACAUGGCUUCA